UACGUAGGGGGCAAGCGUUAUCCGGAUUUACUGGGUGUAAAGGGAGCGUAGACGGCGAUGCAAGCCAGAUGUGAAAGCCCGGGGCUCAACCCCGGGACUGCAUUUGGAACUGUGUGGCUGGAGUGUCGGAGAGGCAGGCGGAAUUCCUAGUGUAGCGGUGAAAUGCGUAGAUAUUAGGAGGAACACCAGUGGCGAAGGCGGCCUGCUGGACGAUGACUGACGUUGAGGCUCGAAUGCGUGGGGAGCAAACAGG
This 253-nucleotide ribosomal RNA is filed under the name uncultured bacterium. RNAcentral describes it as "partial 16S ribosomal RNA". It matches the Rfam family "Bacterial small subunit ribosomal RNA", at positions 524 to 776 of the family's 1533-position model. The record is from RNAcentral.